RNAcentral lists this long non-coding RNA (448 nucleotides) under Helianthus annuus (common sunflower). Lineage: Eukaryota; Viridiplantae; Streptophyta; Magnoliopsida; Asterales; Asteraceae. The record is from RNAcentral.
AUGGCUUCCCAUUCCGGCUGGGCAGCCAUUGACAAGGCAUCGUGCCUAGCUCACCGGUCAUCGUCGCCCGUUCACUACGAUAACCUCCUGUGGGCAUGACACUUGACCUGUUAACAAGGCAUCGAGUUGGGACGAUGUGGGGCUUGGGCAAGGCACUUGGCGUGUUGACAAUGCACGGUGGCCCUGCAUGGCUAGAACGAUGUGGGUAUUCGGCAAGGCACUGUGGGCAUCGUGGUCAGUUUACACAUCUAGCCUCCUUUUGCAUUUUUGCUGGCCACCCCUGCGAGGACCCCGGGGUUUAUGGCUCCCCUAGUCCCCCUAUAUAUACAUUCUGAUUAAAAGGCAAAGUGUCAGGAACAGACAUUACUUUUUUCAAUGGAUCAUAAUCUGCCAUACCAUUGUGAAAGCCGUUCUAGCCAACACUUGUGAAAUUUUCCAACACUUGUAG